CUCAUAGUCGCUCUUGUAUGUUUCGGCGAGCCGCCCAAGUUCCGCCGUGAUGGAGCGGCCGAUCUCGAACAUCUGGUUGCGCAGAUUAACGGCCGCCUGGUGGUUCGGGCCAUAUUUCGCGGACAAAUCCGCCUCGCGAUUGGAAAUGUCGAGGUAUUGGCUGCGAAGCUUGCUGACAACAUCGCUACGUAAUGUAUCGGUCACGGUGGCUNGCAUUAUCUGGUCGAUACGAUCCAGCCGCGCACGCGCUUCGGCGGUCUGCGUCCGCGCCGC
RNAcentral lists this unclassified non-coding RNA (273 nucleotides) under Hevea brasiliensis (rubber tree). Lineage: Eukaryota; Viridiplantae; Streptophyta; Magnoliopsida; Malpighiales; Euphorbiaceae. The record is from RNAcentral.